UCCUACGGGAGGCAGCAGUGGGGAAUAUUGGGCAAUGGCCGCAAGGCUGACCCAGCGACGCCGCGUGUGGGAGGACGCCCUUCGGGGUGUAAACCACUGUCAGGGGGGACGAAUGGCGGCGCGGUGAAUAGCCGUUCCGAUUGACGGUACCUCCAGAGGAAGCGCCGGCUAACUCUGUGCCAGCAGCCGCGGUAAUA
RNAcentral lists this ribosomal RNA (197 nucleotides) under uncultured Gemmatimonadota bacterium. RNAcentral's name for it is "uncultured Gemmatimonadetes bacterium partial 16S ribosomal RNA". It matches the Rfam family "Bacterial small subunit ribosomal RNA", at positions 337 to 525 of the family's 1533-position model. Lineage: Bacteria; Pseudomonadati; Gemmatimonadota. The record is from RNAcentral.